GGUGUUGUAGCUCAGUGGUAGAGAGCACUUGCCUCGCAUGCAUGAGGCCCUGGGUUUGAUCCUCAGCACCA
This 71-nucleotide transfer RNA is filed under the name Marmota marmota marmota (Alpine marmot). It matches the Rfam family "tRNA". Rfam says of the family: Transfer RNA (tRNA) molecules are approximately 80 nucleotides in length. Their secondary structure includes four short double-helical elements and three loops (D, anti-codon, and T loops). Further hydrogen bonds mediate the characteristic L-shaped molecular structure. tRNAs have two regions of fundamental functional importance: the anti-codon, which is responsible for specific mRNA codon recognition, and the 3' end, to which the tRNAs corresponding amino acid is attached (by aminoacyl-tRNA synthetases). tRNAs cope with the degeneracy of the genetic code in two manners: having more than one tRNA (with a specific anti-codon) for a particular amino acid; and 'wobble' base-pairing, i.e. permitting non-standard base-pairing at the 3rd anti-codon position. RNAcentral also lists the same sequence under 1 other name. Lineage: Eukaryota; Metazoa; Chordata; Mammalia; Rodentia; Sciuridae. The record is from Rfam by way of RNAcentral.